AUGUUGCUCCUUCUCCUCGCCACCCGCCUUUUGUUCCGGGAAGAAGGGAGGGAUGAGCCCCCCUCCCAAACUGCCUGCUUCUCCCGACAGUGGAGCUUCCACUCCGGAUUGCUGCUCUGCCCAAUAGCUCUAGGGGCGCGCGCUUUCGGAAAGGGGAGGAGGGGCGGCAGGGACCCCCCCCGUGGAUGUUGCAGGAAAGGAAAGGAGAUUCGCGAGCGAGGACAAAGAGGCAGUGUCAGAGUGACUGACAAGCUGAGAUUCUUCCCAGUCAAAGGACCCAUUUUCAUGAUAGACAGUGUCUGUGGCUGGAGGCUCUACAUACAAGGAUUUCCUUUCCUCCCACUCUGAAGAAGGAGAUGGAGAAGACAGUCAGAAGUCCAGGAGAUGGGACAUCUUUCGUUUCAUUAGAAAGAGAAAUUAAAAUGUGUGAAAUGUGGAUUAUGCUUCAUAGAAUGAGCACACAUAAUUCACAUCAAUGACCUCCGACAGGGGAGAAACCAUUGAAAGGUAAGGACUGUAGAAAGAGUUUCACUGAUAUUGGAAAACUUA
RNAcentral lists this long non-coding RNA (549 nucleotides) under Podarcis muralis (Common wall lizard). RNAcentral describes it as "lncRNA (ENSPMRG00000014174.1)". Lineage: Eukaryota; Metazoa; Chordata; Lepidosauria; Squamata; Lacertidae. The record is from RNAcentral.